CGGACGUGGAUAACCUGCCUCACACAGGGGAUAACAGUUAGAAAUGACUGCUAAUACCGCAUAAGCGCACGGCAUCGCAUGAUGCAGUGUGAAAAACUCCGGUGGUGUGAGAUGGAUCCGCGUCUGAUUAGGUAGUUGGUGGGGUAACGGCCACCAAGCCGACGAUCAGUAGCCGACCUGAGAGGGUGACCGGCCACAUUGGGACUGAGACACGGCCCAA
RNAcentral lists this ribosomal RNA (220 nucleotides) under uncultured bacterium. RNAcentral's name for it is "partial 16S ribosomal RNA". It matches the Rfam family "Bacterial small subunit ribosomal RNA", at positions 112 to 334 of the family's 1533-position model. The record is from RNAcentral.